UGGGGAAUAUUGGACAAUGGGGGAAACCCUGAUCCAGCAAUGCCGCGUGAGUGAAGAAGGCCUUAGGGUUGUAAAGCUCUUUCGCCCGCGAAGAUAAUGACGGUAGCGGGAGAAGAAGCCCCGGCUAACUCCGUGCCAGCAGCCGCGGUAAUACGGAGGGGGCUAGCGUUGUUCGGAAUUACUGGGCGUAAAGCGUACGUAGGCGGAUGCGCAAGUUGGGGGUGAAAUCCUGGGGCUUAACCUCGGAAUUGCCCUCAAAACUGCACGUCUUGAGACCGAGAGAGGUAAGGGAAAUUCCUAGUGUAGAGGUGAAAUUCGUAGAUAUUAGGAAGAACACCAGUGGCGAAGGCGCCUUACUGGCUCGGUACUGACGCUGAGGUACGAAAGCGUGGGGAGCAA
Molecule: ribosomal RNA, 399 nt
Filed under: uncultured bacterium
Lineage: Bacteria
Description: bacterial SSU rRNA
Rfam family: Bacterial small subunit ribosomal RNA
Source: RNAcentral